AGUGAACGCUGGCGGUAGGCCUAACACAUGCCAGUCGAACGGCAGCACAGUAAGAGCUUGCUCUUACGGGUGGCGAGUGGCGGACGGGUGAGGAAUACAUCGGAAUCUACUUUUUCGUGGGGGAUAACGUAGGGACACUUACGCUAAUACCGCAUACGACCUACGGGUGAAAGCAGGGGAUCUUCGGACCUUGCGCGAUUGAAUGAGCCGAUGUCGGAUUAGCUAGUUGGCGGGGUAAAGGCCCACCAAGGCGACGAUCCGUAGCUGGUCUGAGAGGAUGAUCAGCCACACUGGAACUGAGACACGGUCCAGACUCCUACGGGAGGCAGCGGUGGGGAAUAUUGGACAAUGGGCGCAAGCCUGAUCCAGCCAUACCGCGUGGGUGAAGAAGGCCUUCGGGUUGUAAAGCCCUUUUGUUGGGAAAGAAAAGCAGCAGGUUAAUACCCCGCUGUUCUGACGGUACCCAAAGAAUAAGCACCGGCUAACUUCGU
Molecule: ribosomal RNA, 491 nt
Filed under: uncultured bacterium
Lineage: Bacteria
Description: partial 16S ribosomal RNA
Rfam family: Bacterial small subunit ribosomal RNA
Source: RNAcentral